RNAcentral lists this ribosomal RNA (833 nucleotides) under Phaeosphaeriopsis sp. RNAcentral describes it as "partial large subunit ribosomal RNA". It matches the Rfam family "Eukaryotic large subunit ribosomal RNA", at positions 67 to 919 of the family's 3401-position model. Lineage: Eukaryota; Fungi; Ascomycota; Dothideomycetes; Pleosporales; Phaeosphaeriaceae. The record is from RNAcentral.
AACAGGGAUUGCCCUAGUAACGGCGAGUGAAGCGGCAAUAGCUCAAAUUUGAAAUCUGGCUCUUUCAGAGUCCGAGUUGUAAUUUGCAGAGGGCGCUUUGGCAUUGGCAGCGGUCCAAGUUCUUUGGAACAGGACGUCACAGAGGGUGAGAAUCCCGUACGUGGUCGCUAGCCUUUGCCGUGUAAAGCCCCUUCGACGAGUCGAGUUGUUUGGGAAUGCAGCUCUAAAUGGGAGGUAAAUUUCUUCUAAAGCUAAAUACUGGCCAGAGACCGAUAGCGCACAAGUAGAGUGAUCGAAAGAUGAAAAGCACUUUGGAAAGAGAGUCAAAUAGCACGUGAAAUUGUUGAAAGGGAAGCGCUUGCAGCCAGACUUGCCUGUAGUUGCUUAUCUGGACUUUUGUCCAGUGCACUCUUCUGCGGGCAGGCCAGCAUCAGUUUGGGCGGUUGGAUAAAGGUCUCUGUCAUGUACCUCUCUUCGGGGAGGCCUUAUAGGGGAGACGACAUGCAACCAGCCUGGACUGAGGUCCGCGCAUUUGCUAGGAUGCUGGCGUAAUGGCUGUAAGCGGCCCGUCUUGAAACACGGACCAAGGAGUCUAACAUCUAUGCGAGUGUUUGGGUGUCAAGCCCAGACGCGUAAUGAAAGUGAACGGAGGUGGGAACCUUUUAGGUGCACCAUCGACCGAUCCUGAUGUCUUCGGAAGGAUUUGAGUAAGAGCAUGGCUGUUGGGACCCGAAAGAUGGUGAACUAUGCUUGAAUAGGGUGAAGCCAGAGGAAACUCUGGUGGAGGCUCGCAGCGGUUCUGACGUGCAAAUCGAUCGUCAAAUUUGGGCAUA